This is a long non-coding RNA of Lolium rigidum, 1562 nucleotides long. RefSeq lists it as uncharacterized. The record is from RefSeq and is a predicted model, not a curated record. NCBI's taxonomy places the organism in Eukaryota, Viridiplantae, Streptophyta, Magnoliopsida, Poales, Poaceae. The transcript is spliced from 3 exons.
GUUUAUUCUGUUGACUUUGUUUUCAUUCUCAUGAACGUGAUAUUCAGUAAUGUAAGAAAGAAGUCAUUUAGUUGUAACUUUAAACUAAUGCCUUGAAACUUGAGUGCUUUCAGUUCGUUGAAACUACUUUUAAAUUCCAUGUCAGGUUUCCACCUGCUUAUCGAAUUUCCAUCAGACUGGUUAAUAUAGGAGUUGUAGCGAUCGAAGCCUGGCCAGCUGGUUAUUUGGCUCUGUCUCUGUUCCUUGAGAGAUGUAAUGAAUCGUUCAAGAUGCAUGCAACCUUGUCCGUCCAUUUGAAGCUUCAGUAUUGCAACAGCGAGAUGGGGAAGUGAAUGCCUGCUCAGCACCUGCAACUGAAAUAGUUGGCAAUGAGCACAAAAUGUAUUCGAUGGGUUUUCGGCGAACUUAUUUGCUUAGUGGAUAGACUGGACUUGGCUAGAGUGCACCGAUGGAUGGAGCACACCAACCUCCACAUAAUUCAAUCAGCUUGAAUUAGUUUGAUGUUUGCACCCGGAAUCCUAUGCUUGUAGUACUGAAGGGGAAUCGAGAUAUCCAUACUACCAAGUAUUAAUGCAUGGAACUACACCAAGAAUGGAAUUUUCAGUGUCAAUUUGGACUACCAUCUGAAAGCACAGCUUAAGCAGAACCAGUCCGGCCGUUCUCGUCCUCUAACGUUUGAUGAACACAGGGGCUGGUUGGCUCUUUGGGCUGCGGAUGUCCUGGGUAAGGCUAAGAUACAUGUGCGGAGACUGGUCUUGUGGUGGGCGAGGAGCUGCAGCAAAGGAAGAUCAAAGAGGGCAAAUUUAAGGGUGUAAUAUGGACUUAUCUCUAAAAUGUAUAGACUGCAACCGGGACGAAUCCCUGCUGCACAAGUUUUGGAGAUGCCCUCACUCGUGGAGGACAUGGGAGCUGGCCAGAGAGCAAUCCAAGCUCAAUCUCUGUGACCCUCCGGUGCUGGUCCAUGGGCCUCGCGACCUCCAGGGUUGGAUGCUCGAUUGGCUAGGAAAUCUGGAUGACAAGGAGAUGGUUAUCGGCACUAUGACGAUCUAUCAGCUAUGGCUGGCGAGGAAUGACGCUUGGGAGGAGGCGAAGAUGGCUGGCCCACAGGAUAUUGUGAAGCGGUCGAUCUACCUAGUAGAGGAAUGGUUGCAGCUGAAGUCUGCACUGGCUUCAAAACCUGCAUCAGUGAUGGAGCGCUGGCUCCCCCCGAGGAUGCCUGACAUAAACUUAACGCAGACGGUGCUUUCUCCGUGGAUUCGGGUAGGGGGAUGUGAUGCGGUUUUGUAGAAUCAUCAUGGCGGCUUCCUGGCUGGGGCUUGCCAUUUUUGACUUUGCUGACUGAUCCGGAGAGAGCCGAGCUUCUCGCUUGCAAACGAGCUCUAGUUCUGGCCAAGGAGAAGGGUUUAAGCGAGUUAUGCUUGAAAAUUGAUAGUCUGGGUUGCUGUGGUGAAACUACGGAGCGGUGACAGGGACCGUUCUUUGCACGGGCCGCUAGUAGAAGAAAUACGAUCAUUGCUGUAAGGUUUUGAAGAUCACUUGGUCACGCACGCGCGAUAAUCUAA